Molecule: unclassified non-coding RNA, 244 nt
Filed under: air metagenome
Description: partial contains small subunit ribosomal RNA, internal transcribed spacer 1, and 5.8S ribosomal RNA
Rfam family: Eukaryotic small subunit ribosomal RNA (bases 1-46)
Source: RNAcentral
AAGUCGUAACAAGGUCUCCGUAGGUGAACCUGCGGAGGGAUCAUUACAGAGUUCUCGCCCCUCGCGGGUAGAUCUCCCACCCACUGUUAUCGUUACCGUCGUUUCUUUGGCGGGCCGCUGGGCCCUGCCCGGCCGCCGGCCCCGGCUGGCGCGUGCCCGCCAGAGACCCCCAAACUCUGAAUGUUAGUGUCGUCUGAGUACUAUACAAUAGUUAAAACUUUCAACAACGGAUCUCUUGGUUCUG